Molecule: ribosomal RNA, 118 nt
Filed under: Anolis carolinensis (green anole)
Lineage: Eukaryota; Metazoa; Chordata; Lepidosauria; Squamata; Anolidae
Source: RNAcentral
CCCUGGUCUUUCUUCAACUCUAUGCACCAGAUGCCAUCUGAUCUCAGAAGCUAAGUAAGGUCAACCCCGGUUAGUAUUUGGAUGGGAGACUGCCAGUGAAUACCAAGUUCUGCAGGGU